GACGAACGUUGGCGGCGUGCUUAAUACAUGCAAGUCAACUGAAGCAGUGGUAGCAAUAUCGCUGUGGAGGUGGCGCACGGGUGAGUAACACGUAGGUAAUCUGCCUUCAGGUCUGGCAUAACUCCGGGAAACCGGGGCUAAUAGCAGAUGAUGCAGCGGCUCGACAUCGAGACAGUUGUUAAAGCUAUGGCGCCUGAAGAUGAGCCUGCGUCUGAUUAGCUAGUUGGCGGGGUAACGGCCCACCAAGGCAACGAUCAGUAGCUGGUCUGAGAGGAUGAUCAGCCACACUGGAACUGAGACACGGUCCAGACUCCUACGGGAGGCAGCAGUAAGGAAUAUUGCUCAAUGGGAGAAAUCCUGAAGCAGCAACGCCGCGUGAGGGACGAAGGGCUUUUGCUUGUAAACCUCUGUAGUGAGAGAAAAAAAUCCCAAUCUUUGGGACAUGGUGGUAUCUCAAAAGUAAGCCCCGGCUAACUACGUG
RNAcentral lists this ribosomal RNA (481 nucleotides) under uncultured bacterium. Its description in RNAcentral is "partial 16S ribosomal RNA". It matches the Rfam family "Bacterial small subunit ribosomal RNA", at positions 28 to 507 of the family's 1533-position model. The record is from RNAcentral.